This 567-nucleotide ribosomal RNA is filed under the name uncultured Glomeromycotina. RNAcentral describes it as "SSU rRNA". It matches the Rfam family "Eukaryotic small subunit ribosomal RNA", at positions 548 to 1114 of the family's 1831-position model. The record is from RNAcentral. Lineage: Eukaryota; Fungi; Glomeromycota.
UUGGAGGGCAAGUCUGGUGCCAGCAGCCGCGGUAACUCCAGCUCCAAUAGCGUGUAUUAAAGUUGUUGCAGUUAAAAAGCUCGUAGUUGAAUUUCGGAAUCCAUCCAUCGGUCGGGCCUCACGGUCCGCACUGGUGUGAUGGAUUUCUACCUUCUGAAUAACCAGCAUGUCAUUAAUUUGGUGCGUUGGGGAAGCAGGACUGUUACCUUGAAAAAAUUAGAGUGCUUAAAGCAGGCUAGUGCCUGAAUACAUUAGCAUGGAAUAAUGAAAUAGGACGGCAUGGUUCUAUUUUGUUGGUUUCUAGGAUCGACGUAAUGAUUAAUAGGGAUAGUUGGGGGCAUUAGUAUUCAAUUGUCAGAGGUGAAAUUCUUGGAUUUAUUGAAGACUAACUACUGCGAAAGCAUUUGCCAAGGAUGUUUUCAUUAAUCAAGAACGAAAGUUAGGGGAUCGAAGACGAUCAGAUACCGUCGUAGUCUUAACCAUAAACUAUGCCGACUAGGGAUCGGAUGAUGUUAAUUUUUUAAUGACUCAUUCGGCGCCUUACGGGAAACCAAAGUGUUUGGGUUC